RNAcentral lists this long non-coding RNA (1500 nucleotides) under Ursus maritimus (polar bear). Its description in RNAcentral is "lncRNA (ENSUMAG00000011380.1)". Lineage: Eukaryota; Metazoa; Chordata; Mammalia; Carnivora; Ursidae. The record is from RNAcentral.
CUCCCAGGCCCACGCAGGGGCAGUGGCCCCGGAGGCUGGGCAGAGCCCGAACCCCGCAGAGAAAGUGACCAGUAGAAAGGGCGCAGGAUCAGUCCUGAGGACGAGAAGCGCUCUCUUUCCAGACUCCCUGAGAGGCAGGACGGAAAGGGGGGAUGCGGGCAGGGGGCUGCUGCGUAUUUCAGAACCCCGCUUACUGCGGCCUAGUCCCCAGGUUCCCCCUUGUCUCCGAUUGGUUUUAGUUGGGCUGUGUGGGCCUGGAGGGUGCUUUCUGAUCCAGCUUGUGCUCCAGAAAGGCCCUAGUGUCUCCUCCUCUUUCCCCCAGGCCAGGCGUCCUCCGGAACAAGCAUCCUGAGGAGGAAGACGACUUGUUACACAUCUUAAAGUCAAGGAUGCCAUCCCGGAGAUCACGUUACAUUUCAUUGUCAUGUGUCCUUAAGCUCCUCUUGGCUGUGACAGUUUCUCAGACUUCCCUUGUUUCUGAUGACCUUGAAGGUUUUAAGAGGCCUGCAGCAAAAGGUUCAGUUUCCUAAGGAGCUCGUAAAGAAGAAACUCGAAAUUACCCAUAGCUGUACCACCCAGAGACAGAGAGUGCGAGCAGGGGAGGAGCAGAGGGAGAGGAAGAGAGAGAGAGAGUCUCAAGUAGACGCCACGCCCAGCAUGGAUCCUGAUGGGGGGCUCGCUCUCACAACGCUGAGAUCAAGACCUGAGUCGAAACCAAGGGUCGGACGCUUAACUGACUAAACCACCAAGGCGCCCCUCAGUUUACAUUCUCUGAGCUGGAUUUUCCGUGCAGAUCAUGUCUGUCCCUCUCUACUAGUAGAGAGGGAACAUUUUCUCCAUAUACGCCUUAGGCUUUUUUUUUUUCCUUUUGCUAAUGUCAAUUUAAAGGAAUUUCAUUUUUAAGAGGCUCUGAAAGUUUUUAGUUACCGUGGUUUAUAUAGAUAGCAGGUAUGAGAAGCAUGUUUUAGCAUAAGAAGAAAGGAAAAUUCAGGCUUGAGUUUUUUCUAUAAAAUCAGGUUAGGGGUUGUGUAACGUUACUGAUUUUCAGUCAUAACUGCUAACUUGUAUUAAGUAACUUAAUAUUGUUGAGUUUUAUGUAGAUUAUCUUUCUAAAAAUUCGAUGCAGUCUUACCUGGCAGGUACUACUUCUACCCCAGUCUUAACCAUGGGGAACAGUGUGAGGUUAGUAAUGCUCAGAGCUCAGAUUUACAUCCUGAAAGUCAGACCACAGGGCCUUAUUCUUACUUUCACCAAGUGCUCUCCCCCCAGAUAAUGCAUACAUUAUUAAACCUACGUUCUUCACUUAGGAAUUCAUCCUAAAUUUCUUUCUCAGAGAAAUAGUAUAAAUAUCAUUAUUAGUAAAUAUAUUAGAUGCCAUUAUAGCAGACCAUAAUUUAUUUAAUCUGUCCUCUACUGUGAGAUACUCCUACCCUUUUUUUUCAUUUUUUAAAAUGAUUCUCUGGAAAAUCUGAAUAAAAUUGCUGGAUUACCUGAGUAUCA